UGCCAGCAUCCGCGGUAAUACUGAGGGUGCAAGCGUUGUUCGGAAUCACUGGGCGUAAAGCGCACGUAGGCGGAUUUGUAAGUUAGGGGUGAAAUCCCGGGGCUCAACCUCGGAACUGCCUUUGAUACUGCAAGUCUAGAGUCCGAGAGAGGUGAGUGGAAUUCCUAGUGUAGAGGUGAAAUUCGUAGAUAUUAGGAAGAACACCAGUGGCGAAGGCGGCUCACUGGCUCGGUACUGACGCUGAGGUGCGAAGGCGUGGGUAGCGAACGGGAUUAGAUA
This 279-nucleotide ribosomal RNA is filed under the name uncultured bacterium. Its description in RNAcentral is "partial 16S ribosomal RNA". It matches the Rfam family "Bacterial small subunit ribosomal RNA", at positions 506 to 784 of the family's 1533-position model. The record is from RNAcentral.